RNAcentral lists this ribosomal RNA (429 nucleotides) under Chloroflexota bacterium. RNAcentral's name for it is "Chloroflexi bacterium partial 16S ribosomal RNA". It matches the Rfam family "Bacterial small subunit ribosomal RNA", at positions 355 to 776 of the family's 1533-position model. The record is from RNAcentral. Lineage: Bacteria; Bacillati; Chloroflexota.
UGGGGAAUAUUGCACAAUGGGCGCAAGCCUGAUGCAGCCAUGCCGCGUGUAUGAAGAAGGCCUUCGGGUUGUAAAGUACUUUCAGUCGGGAGGAAGGUGUCAAGGUUAAUAACCUUGGCAAUUGACGUUACCGACAGAAGAAGCACCGGCUAACUCCGUGCCAGCAUCCGCGGUAAUACGGAGGGUGCAAGCGUUAAUCGGAAUUACUGGGCGUAAAGCGCACGCAGGCGGUUGAUUGCGUCAGAUGUGAAAUCCCCGGGAUUAACCCGGGAAUUGCAUCUGAUACUGGUCAGCUAGAGUCUUGUAGAGGGGGGUAGAAUUCCAUGUGUAGCGGUGAAAUGCGUAGAGAUGUGGAGGAAUACCGGUGGCGAAGGCGGCCCCCUGGACAAAGACUGACGAUCAGGUGCGAAAGCGUGGGGAGCAAACAGG